RNAcentral lists this ribosomal RNA (512 nucleotides) under Giraudia sp. 2 BFS-2018. RNAcentral's name for it is "partial 16S large subunit ribosomal RNA". The stretch from base 384 to 512 matches the Rfam family "Archaeal large subunit ribosomal RNA", at positions 2544 to 2672 of the family's 2987-position model. Lineage: Eukaryota; Metazoa; Arthropoda; Insecta; Hymenoptera; Ichneumonidae. The record is from RNAcentral.
CAUGUCUUUUUGAAAAUAAUUUAAAGUUYWAUYUGCUCCAUGAAAAUAUUUUAAAUAGCUGCAGUAUUUUAACUGUACAAAGGUAGCAUAAUCAAUAGUUUUUUAAUUAAAAGCUGGAAUGAAUGAUUUUAUGAAAUAAUAUCUGUCUCAGAUUAAUUAGUUUUAUAAUUUUUUUUUUAGUAAAAAUACUAAAUUGAUUUUGAAAGACGAGAAGACCCUAUAGAAUUUUAUAAUUUUUUAUUAAAUCAAUUUUAAGAAAAAGUUUAAUGAAAAUUUAUUAAGUUGGGGAAAUUAUUAAAUUUAAAUAAUUUUAAUUAUUUUUAAACAAAAAUUAUUGAGUGAUAGAUCUUAAAUUUUAAAAUAUAAGAAUAAAUUACCUUAGGGAUAACAGCGUAAUUCUUUUGGAGAGAUCUUAUUAAUAAAAGAGUUUGCGACCUCGAUGUUGAAUUAAAAUAAAAUUUUAAUGGAGGAGUUAAAAAUUUUUGGUCUGUUCGACCAUUAAUAUUUUACGU